Molecule: long non-coding RNA, 12381 nt
Filed under: Triticum aestivum (bread wheat)
Lineage: Eukaryota; Viridiplantae; Streptophyta; Magnoliopsida; Poales; Poaceae
Description: long non-coding RNA (TAES_LNC022474)
Source: RNAcentral
AAAAAACAACUAAAUGGGGUCCAGUUCAAGUUGUUCGGGCGAGUGCUAGAGUAGUUGGAGGUAAAAGGACUAUAAUUGAGAAAUCUCAACAACUCAAAGAGGUACAAGACUUGAAAGUGCAGAAAGGGCAAGGUAAAACUAAUGCUCCCUACUCCUUGUUUAACAACCCCUAGAUCCUUACUAUUGCUGCUAAAGUUGGAAUAGAUAUUGAUUUACCUAGCUCUAGUCCUUUGUCUCUUAGUUUAAUAGUUAAUGAAAAUGGCACAACCCAAGACAUGGUUGUGGGCCAUGUUGCUGGAAAUGCUAAUUUCGAUAGCACGCAUGUGGAUACUGUUAAUGCAGAUCCUCAAUCUAGCCCCAAUGAGGGUAUGUGGUCUUUAGUUUGCAAACGUAGAUGGGGCAAGCACAUCAAAACUAUGGUGAUUCAAUGAAUGCACUUUUUUGGAACGUGAGGGACAUUAAUACCCCUCGUAGGAAGCAUCUAAUUGUAGACACUAUUAACAAAACUCACGCAACCAUCCUAGGUUUCCAAAAGACCAAGAAAGAGGAAUUUCACACCUCAUACUUGAAAUCCCUGGUAGGAGUUAGAGAUUUUGAAUAGCAUCACCUCCCAUCAAAAAGGCUCUGCUGGAAGCAUCCUAACGGGGGUUAAUUUGGAGGUUUUUGAAGUAAUUUCCUAGUCACACCUAGAUUUCUCUGUCAGCUGUCUUUUAAAGCUUAGAUUUAAUGAUCAAACUUUUAUGGUGCUGAUUGUUUAUGGCUCACCUUAUGAUGAGGGUAAAGAAGCCUUUCGUUCUGAACCAUAUACCUUGUUUGUUGAUAAUCAUGUUCCCUCCUUAAUUGGUGGUGACUAUAAUUUAGUCAAGAAAGCUAGUGAUAAGAGUAAUGGAUUCAUUAAUCAUAGAUGGAGUACCAGCUUUAAUGCCUGGAUAGAGAUUUGAGGCCUCUUAGAAAUUAAUCUCUCUAAUAGAAAAUUUACCUGGGCUAACAAUCAGGAGGACAUUAUUAUGUCUACUAUUUACAGACUUUUCUAUGAUACUGAUAUGGAUAAGUUGUUCCCAAUAGCUUCUUGUAGAGCCCUACCCAGAUGUGGUAGUGAUCGCACUCCCUUGCUUUGGGACUCUAGUAUGGACUCCCAUCCUAAGAAAAGUAGUUUCAAAUUUGAGAAAUGGUGGCUUUUAAAUCAUAUUUUGAUGCACUAGUCCAUAAGAUAUGGACUGAGUACAACAAAACUGGCUCCCUCUUAGAAGAUUGGCAAGGAAAAAUUAGAAAACUUAGGAGAGUCACUAUGGGGUGGAGCUCUAAUGAGGAAGCAAAUCUUAGGAGAUAUAAGAGAAUCCUUAUAGCAGAAUUUGAUGUACUAGAUGUUAAGGCAGAAACCACUGAUCUCUCUGAGUCUGGGUUCUCCAGGAUGAAAUUCAUCCAAACUAAACUUCAGAAAAACUGGCUUCAAGAGGAAAUAAAAGCCAAACAAAGAUCCAGAGAUAGAGAGAUCAAAAAAGGGGAUAGGAACACUGCUUACUUUCAGGCAGUAGCCAACCAGAGAAGGAGGAAAAUAUUGAUCCACUCUCUCGGUAGCCUUAAUGGGCCUUUUACUCACAUUAAAGGCUUGCUCAACAUUGCCAGUGACUUCUAUAAAGAUCUUUUUUAAAAAGAACCUAGCGGUGGCUUCAAAGUUAGGGAUGAUUUUUUCUCUGCUGAUGACAUGGUUACUCAAGCUGAAAAUGACAGUCUAGAAUCCCCUUUAUCUGAAGAGGAGGUCAAAAAACCUAUGUUUGAAUCUUACCCAGAUGGAGAUCCUGGUCCUGAUGGGAUCGCUUUUUUGCUUUUACCAACACUUCUGGGAGUUGAUCAAACAUGACCUUUUGUCCAUGUUUGAAGAAUUCCACAAAGGUACACUUGAUAUCUCCUUAAUUCCUAAGGAGCCUGAUGCUAACACCAUGAACAAAUUCAGACCUAUUAGUCUGAUUAAUUAUAGUUUCAAAAUCUUUUCCAAGGUCCUCACUAAUAGAUUGGCUAAAAUCUUGCAAAGACUGAUUGCUAGUAGCCAGUCUGCAUUCUUGAAAGGUAGGUAUAUCCUGGAGAGUGUGGUAACUGCUUAUGAAGUGUUGCAUUCGGUACACUCUAGCAAGAAACAAGGGCUUGUUUUAAAGCUUGACUAUGAAAAAGCCUUUGAUAAAGUAGACCUAGAUUUUUCAGCUGACCUCCCAAAGAAGAGGGGCUUUGGGAACAAAUGGUUACAUUGGAUCCACCAGCUCACUCAUGAUGGCUCUGUUGGAGUCAAAAUGAAUAAUGUAGAAAGUGAUUUCUUCCUGGUUGGGAAAGGCCUCAGGCAAGGGGGCCCAAUCUCACCUCUCCUUUUUAAUUUGGUAGUGGAUGUCCUUACCAAAAUGCUAACUAAAGCAGCAAGUCAUGACUUGAUCUCUGGGCUCUGCACUAAGGUUUGCCCUGGUGGGAUUAUCUGUUUGCAAUAUGCAUAUGACAGUAUCCUUUUUCUUAACAAUAAGAUUUCUCAAGCUAACAACCUUAAGACAGUCCUGGCCUGCUUUGAACAAGUCUCUGGUAUGAGGAUUAACUAUAGUAAAAAUGAACUACCAAUUAAUAAACAUGACUCUAUUUUUCAAGAUUUCCUUGCUACUUUAGAGAUCCUUCCUCGACUCCCUACGAGAAAGCAAUCCCGGAGCCACAUAUCUCGAGUAUCCAUUUGUAGUUGUAUAAGAUCAAGAUAUAAGUCUGAACGUCCGUUACCAUGGACACGGCUAUUAAUAGAUAAUCUUCCCUGUAGGGGUGCACCACGUUUCCCAACACGCUCUAUCACUCUGGCUGGACACACCUUUCUGGAGUCAAUCCCCGGCUUCGGAAGAUCAACACGUCGCAGCCCUACCUAGGCUCAGCAGAGAGGUCCCCGCCGGUCUACAUCCUAAGCACACCGCGGUCUUGGGCCCAUCGCCCGCAGCACUCCGGGUCGUUGUGCGAUGAGCCGGGACGAGCACCACCUCAUACUGGAUGGCACUGGCCCGACAGGCCCACGAUGCUAAAUUGGAUGUCUGACAAAGCUUCGGCUGAUACUACGACGUUGAGGCCCAUAACUAUUCUCGCGUGGUGGUUAGUGCGUAAAGGCCAAAGGCCAACUCAGAACAAAUACCCAAACCAUAGUGUAUUAUUAGCUUGCGGAGACAAGCAGAGACUCACGAUCGAAGUGACCCCGUCGCCCCGUUUCGUGGACUUACGACAAGGACCCAGAAUGCCCGACCGUGCAAUGUCAUUAUCUUGCGGGUGCUCUCCGGGACCGCCCGACUUUCACCAAGGUCUCAAGUAAAGUCAUUGUAACCUGUGUCCAAACAUUAAGGGGAAAUCCCGAGGAAUCACCCCUCGUGGAUUCCACUCAAUGUAAUCAUCAAGGUGAACGUAAGAGAAACCACCCUCGAGGUUCACACUUGAGGUGUUGCACGACAGAGCCGUAUCAGGAAUGGUGAAGGAGGAACCACCCUCGAUGACCACGACCAAAUAGCUAUACUGUAGAGAUCUCAUCAGGAGUGAUGUAUGAGGUUCCACCCUCAGCACUCGAUAGUAACUCUGCAGAGUCGAGCAACAAAAGGGGCGUGAUGUGAUGUGAGGUGUCGGGCUCUGGUCGUCGACCACGUUGAUCGAGUCGACCGUCAUCGAUGAUGAAGCAGGGGAAACAAGGACAAGGUGGGGGUAACUGAUGGAUCACUAACCAACCUAUACUAAGCAGUUUAGGAUAAGCAAGUAGGUAACAAUAGCAGGUACAAAAGCAGGCUAUGCAUCAGAAUAGGAGCAAUCAAUUACAGUAGCAAAAUCUAAUGCAAGCAUGAGAGAAUAGAAUGGGCGAUAUUGGGAUGAUCAAGGGGGGCUUGCCUGGAAGCUACGCUGAAAGGGAAGAAGGGGCGGCGUCGAUGUAGUCGAUCGCAGGGGCAUCAGCAGCGGUCUCGGGGUCUACCGGAGAGAAGAGGGGGAAGAAACAGUAAAUAUAAUGCAACAGAUAUAACACAGAUGUAUGACAGGGUAACACGCAGAGCUAGGGGUGUUCUAAUGGGGUGCUACACGAUACCGGUGAAGUGAGACAACAUCCGAGAAAGUUUUCCCGGUUCCGGACGUCUGUUAGACAAAUGAGCCGGAGGGGAAAAGUGCAACGUUUUCUAUGCUAGGGACGUGUGGCAGGUGAAUGGACCGCUGGUUCAGAUUUGUCUCGUCGUUCUGAGCAACUUUCAUGUAGAAAGUUUUUCGAUCCGAGCUACGGUAUAAUUUCUAUGAUUCUCCGAAGAUUUAAUGAUAUUCUGCAAUUUAACUUAAUUCGAAAAUAAUGAGUAAAUGCUAGGUGCACCUAGAUCUGUGUACACAUAAGUGUACCAGAGGGUGACAUGUGGGUCCAGGGGGUCCCAGUUGACGAGUCAACGUUUGACUGGUCAACAGGGGUGUGGGGCCACCCCGUCAUUGACUACUAACUAAUUAACUAAUUAAUUAGGUAACUAAUCAGGUUCAUUAAGUUAAGUUAAUUAAACUAAUUAAUUAAUCAAUAUUUAUUUAUUUCAUUAAUAUUAUAUUUAUAUUUUUAUAUUUUUCUUUUUAUUUAUACUUUUUUUGUUCUUAUCCAGGGGCUGGGCCCCGUGUGUCAUAGGCACAGGGGCCAAUGGGUCGGGCAAACGGGUGCUGGGGCACGGGCGACGGUGCUCAGCGGGGCGGAGGGGCGAGGCCGGCCGACCGGGGCUAUGCCCAGCAGCGGCGAGGCCACGGCGGGGCGGCNNNNNNNNNNNNNNNNNNNNNNNNNNNNNNNNNNNNNNNNNNNNNNNNNNNNNNNNNNNNNNNNNNNNNNNNNNNNNNNNNNNNNNNNNNNNNNNNNNNNNNNNNNNNNNNNNNNNNNNNNNNNNNNNNNNNNNNNNNNNNNNNNNNNNNNNNNNNNNNNNNNNNNNNNNNNNNNNNNNNNNNNNNNNNNNNNNNNNNNNNNNNNNNNNNNNNNNNNNNNNNNNNNNNNNNNNNNNNNNNNNNNNNNNNNNNNNNNNNNNNNNNNNNNNNNNNNNNNNNNNNNNNNNNNNNNNNNNNNNNNNNNNNNNNNNNNNNNNNNNNNNNNNNNNNNNNNNNNNNNNNNNNNNNNNNNNNNNNNNNNNNNNNNNNNNNNNNNNNNNNNNNNNNNNNNNNNNNNNNNNNNNNNNNNNNNNNNNNNNNNNNNNNNNNNNNNNNNNNNNNNNNNNNNNNNNNNNNNNNNNNNNNNNNNNNNNNNNNNNNNNNNNNNNNNNNNNNNNNNNNNNNNNNNNNNNNNNNNNNNNNNNNNNNNNNNNNNNNNNNNNNNNNNNNNNNNNNNNNNNNNNNNNNNNNNNNNNNNNNNNNNNNNNNNNNNNGCGCGCCGUGAGCGCGAGCAUGGCCAACGGGCGCGUGCGGGGCGGUGACCGCGGGUGGUGGCUACGUCGAGGAGGUCAGAAGGGGGACAGGGGACGGCGCGUUUGGCGCAUGAGCUCAUCGCGGGAGCGUGCGGUCUAGGCAGAGAGCUUGGGGGGGUUCUGGGAGGUCCGACGAGGGAGAGGAUGAGGCGGACGACGGCGACGGGGACGAGGCAGCCCAGCAUCAGCGCAGUCGCGGACGAGGUGGCGAGGGCGUCCAGCGAGGCGGGGCUCCACGGAGGAGGUUCGGCGAGGGAGGAGAGGCCUCCGGGCGGCGGGCGGCGGCGGGAGCACCGCGGGGUCGAGCCUCGAUCUGGAUCGAGGGGAGGAGAGCGGGCGACGUGGGGAGAGUGGAGGUGAGGGAAUCGGGGAAGUGGGUGGGGGUUAGGGUUCGAGGAGGUGGCCUUGUAUGCCAUAGGUAGUGGGGGUGGGCCGGCUGGGCUGCGCGGUUCAGCUGGGCCGAGGCCCAGCCAGGGGGAAGUCCUGAUGUUUUCUCCCUUUUCUUUUAUUCUGCCUCUGUUUCCUAUUUAAAAGAGCUACUAAAAUAUCUUUAUUGAAUGUGGCACUUUGCACAAAAAUAGAUAGGAGCAAAGUGAAGCUGCAUAAAAAGUUUGGGGUCUGAAGGAGUUGGCUAACCAUUUUUAGAAAUUGGAAAAGCUAAUGUAAUUAUUGUUGGACCACAAAAUAAAAUCCCAGGGGCAUUUUGGGAACUCAAAAGAGGUUGGUUCCAACAUGAAAAAUAUCCCAGGAUUAUUUGCCACACUUUGAACAUUUUAGUUUUCAUGUUUGACAAACUUGGAUUUUUGACUUUAAAUUUGAAUUUGAAUCCGAAGAAUGAUUUGGAUCAAGUGGGGAUUAGCAAUAGUAAUGUGAUGAUGUGGCACCAUUAAUAGGGGUUUAAUAUAGCUUAAUUAUCUGGGCGUCACAAUUCUCCUCUACUACAAGAAAUCUCGUCCCGAGAUUUAAGGCAUGUAAUAAGGGGGAAGCUAUAAGGAUGGACGUAUGACAGGAUCGACAUCCGGUAGUUAUCUCAAGGAAGAAGAUUUUAGAAGCACCAGGAACGCAUCGAGAGUGCUAUAAGAAGGCAUAACAUGUCUCAACUAGGUAUGCAUCCAGCUGAUGCAUAAAACAGGUGAUGAAGGGGUCCAGAGCAAUGGGAAAAAGUAUUGCGUCUGAUACCAGAAUAGAUCGCUAGGAAGGUGGCUCGUGAUUUACGUACGAAGCCAAGUGCGAGGAAUAACUUAGAAAACUGGGAUGUACAUGAGAGUCAGGUUUCGAUCCUGUGGAACUGUGGGUUAUGGACCCACCAUGUAAGUUAAUACCAGGAAUGCGCUAAUCAUUUUGCACGAUCAUGAUAGCAAGGCAGGUCAGAGGAUAACCUGUCAAUUAUGUUGGCAACAACGUUGGUACCAAGGGCGAGGGACGAAGAGAACCAUUUUCCUGCUCGUUAAGACAAGGCGGACCAAUAGGCAAAGUUCUCGUCCAUCGGUGGCUACCGGAAUGUCAUCAACAAUAAUAACAAGGUCUUACUGACAGAGUUGUAUAUCGAGGCAUUUACAUAAGCAGUGAAUUAUCACUUCUCAUAUAUGUUACGUUACAAGAAAGUUUAAACCAAAUAAUGGAAAGGAAAGUGUAGACUUGGAAUUAGUUAUCGGCGUUCUCGAGUGUCUAACAACUCAGAACCCGUAGAAAGUUGGAAUCAGCGAGAAUUAAUAGUUCAUGAAGAACUCAUAAGAUGUUAUGUAGUUCCGUGAUAUUCUCGAGAUACCAGAGGGUAGUACUCAAGGGUAGAGCAGAAUAGAGGUUGGACAGGUGAAAUGAUCUACAGAAGACAACUACUUCAACUUGUCCGAGAAAUGGUAUCAAAGAACAAUAUGGUCGGAACCACGGUUGCAAAGGACCAAACAUAGAUACAAGAUAAACUUAUCACAGGGGGAUUAUUAUUAUUACAGGAAGCUUCCAUGAUAAGUUCCACAUCGUGUCCAUGGGCAUGAACACAAAGUUCAAGGUCGACACCCACUUCUCAAUUGCAUAACCUUUCAUUCACUUCUCAUUUUAGACGAAGCCAUAGUGUUGAGAUUUUAUCUGGCAUAACACCAGUAGAGUAUGACCCGUGGAAGUUUCCGGGUUCAUACAGAUUAUGGAAGGCAUAGGUUCAACCCAAGUUUCCACGGUCAUACAAAUUAUGGAAGGCAUAGGUUCAACCCAUCAGGGUAUCUUAGGAACACAUACCACAAACUUUAGGAAUAAAUAACUCAAGCUCGGAAGCAAAGCAUGGUUGACAAAAGCAGGGGAUACAAUCUACAAAAGGCAUUAUGUAUCCGAGGAAAAGCUCACAAGGUUACCGAAUAUGAAGGACCCUAUUGGAUAAAACCCAACAAAGGACCUGGAGGUCCACAAUGGAUCUGAUGUGAGUAUCGGUACUCAACCAGAAGAAGAAAGAAUGCAAAGAGGUCAGGUUAUAGAAACAACUGACUAAUUCAAAGCUCAAAUGCAAAGGAAUUAUGGUUUCCAAAUCGGGGGAUCAGAAGUAGAGGCUCUGAUCAAAGACAAGUAAGUUGAAUAGACAUAGAUCGACAAUCAAUCAAGGCUUGAUUCGCUGAACACCAACUCAUGUCCGGAGUGACAUCUGAACCAAGGGGAGAAUUUUAAAUAGGACCGAUGAUCGCAGGCAUUCGCAAACGAAUAGAAUCAAAUGCUCGAAAUUAUGAUGACAAAGGAUGCUAAUGAGUAUUGCUAGACAUAUGGAAGUAACCAUACUGCAAGCAGAUAAAUAUUAGCAGAGCAUUAGUUGGAGAGGACUAUCAGAAGAUCGGAUGGAAUUCCAAAGUAUCUUGUGAAUCACAUGAACAAUUGUGGAUGAAUGAAUACUUGGCAAGCGCGAGUAAUUAUCCGUAGGGGAUAUUCAUGUGGCAAAGAACUGCAAGGUAGUAGGCUCAACGGAUUCUCAGGACAACAGAGAGUAAUUCGGGGCAUCUUCUAAUAACAAGAGCAACUGGGGAUGGAGGUAUGAACGACAAUGUAGGUAGUUACCCAUAAGGAUUUAUCGGUGGUAGGGAUCGCAACGGCGAAUGGCACAAGGGUCUCGGGAAAACAAUGGAGAGUAUCUUUAGAAUCUUCUAUUGCACCAAGCAAUCAUCUGGAGUGAGGGGCUCUCCGGGAGAAAGUAUUUGCGAGAACCUAGAGUUAGAUUUAACAAAACCAUUUAACCCGAAUAGAAGAGAGAUUAGAGUCCCAGAGUAAAGGUCAAGGAGUAAAAGAUCCUAAUACCACCCAAUGGCGACUUGGGCCCGUAAGCCACACAACCAUGUUAGUAAAACAGUUUUUCAAAGACUAGACUCAACUUCGGCCAAGGAGUUGGAAAGGGAGAUCCUACAGGCAGUCGGCUCUGAUACCAACUUGUGACGCCCCCGAUUCAAUCGUACACUAAUCAUACACGCAAAUGUGUACGAUUAAGAUCAGGGACUCACGGGAAGAUAUCGCAACACAACUCUAGACACAAAUCAAAAUAAUACAAGCUUUAUAUUACAAGCCAGGGGCCUCGAGGGCUCGAAUACAAGCUCGAUACACAAGAGUCAGCGGAAGCAACAAUACCUGAGUACACACAUAAGUUAAACAAGGGGUGCCUUAAGAACGCUAGCACAAAAGCAACAACAAUCGAAGAGGCAAGGCCUCCUGCCUGGGGCCUCCUAACUACUCCUGGUCGUCGGUGGUCUCCAUGUAGUAGCAUCCAUAGGCGGUGGCAUCUGGCUCCAGGGAUCCAUCAUCUAGUUGCAUCAACUAGAAAGAAGAAAGAAGGGGGAAAGGGGGGAGCAAAGCAACCAUGAGUACUCAUCCAAAGUACUCGCAAGCAUCAGAUCUAUACUAAGUAUGCAUUGGUAUCAAAUGGAAGGGUUGUAUCUGUGGACUGAACUGCAGAAUGCCAGAAUAGAGGGGGAAGGCGUAGCCUAUCAAAGACUAGCAUCUUCAAGCAGCUCCAAGCAUCUUGCAGCAUGUAGAAGAGUAAAGAAUAGCAGUUUAAUAUUUAACAAACAUGUUGUAACAUUAAUGCCCAGAGAUCCUUCCUCGACUCCCUGCGAGAAAGCAAUCCCGGAGCCACAUAUCUCGAGUAUCCAUUUGUAGUUGUAUAAGAUCAAGAUAUAAGUCUGAACGUCCGUUACCAUGGCCACGGCUAUUAAUAGAUAAUCUUCCCUGCAGGGGUGCACCAUGUUUCCCAACACACUCUAUCACUCUGGCCGGACACACCUUUCUGGGGUCAAUGCCCGACCUCGGAAGAUCAACACGUCGCAGCCCUACCUAGGCUCAGUAGAGAGGUCCCCGCUGGUCUACAUCAUAAGCACUCCGGGUCUUGGGCCCAUUGCCCGCAACACUCCGGGUCGUUGUGCGACGAGCCGGGACGAGCACCACCUCAUACUAGAUGGCACUGGCCCGACAGGCCCACGAUGCUGAACUGGACGUCUGACAAAGCUUUGGCUGAUACUACGACGUCGAGGCCCAUAACUAUUCUCGCAUGGUGGUUAGUGCGUAAAGGCCAAAGGCCAACUCAGAACAAAUACCCAAACCAUAGUGUAUUAUUAGCUUGCGGAGACGAGCAGAGACUCACGAUCAAAGUGACCCCGUCGCCCCGUCUCGUGGACUUACGACAAGGGCCCAAAAUGCCCGGCCAUGCCAUGUCAUUAUCUUGCGGGUGCUCUCCGGGCCCGCCCGACUUUCACCAAGGUCUCAAGUAAAGUCAUUGUAACCAUGUGUCCAAACAUCAAGGGUAAAACCCUAGGAAUCACCCCCGAUGGAUUCCACUCGAUGUAAUCAUCAAGGUGAACGUAAGAGGAACCACCCUCGAGGUUCACACUUGAGGUGUUGCACGAUAGAGCCGUAUCAGGAAUGAUGAAGGAGGAACCACCCUCGAUGACCACGACCGAAUAGCUACACUACAGAGAUCUCAUCAGGAGUGAUGUAUGAGGUUCCACCCUCGGAACUCGAUGGUAACUCUGCACAGUCGAGCAACAAAAGGUGCGUGAUGCGAUGUGAGGUGUCGGGCUCUGGUCGUCGAUCACAUUGAUCGAGUCGUCGAUGAUGAAGCAGGGGCAACAAGGACAAGGUGGGGGUCACUGAUGGAUCACUAACCAACCUAUACUAAGCAGUUUAGGAUAAGCAGGUAGGUAACAAUAGCAGGUACAAAAGCAGGCUAUGCAUCAGAAUAAGAGCAAUCAAUUACAGUAGCAAAAUCUAAUGCAAGCAUGAGAGAAUAGAAUGGGUGAUAUCAAGAUGAUCAAAGGGGGCGGCUUGCCUGGGAGCUCCGCUGAAAGGGACGAAGGGGCGUCGUCGACGUAGUCGAUCACAGGGGCAUCAGCAGCGGUCUGGGGUCUACCGGAGAGAAGAGGGGCAAGAAACAGUAAAUAUAAUGCAACAGAUGCAACACAGAUGUAUGACAAGGUAACACACAGAGCUAGGGGUGUUCUAACGGGGUGCUACACGAUACAGGUGAAGUGGGAUAACAUCCGGGAAAGUUUUCCCGGUUCUGGACGUCUGUUAGACAGAUGAGCCGGAGGGGGAAAGUUCAACGUUUGCUAUGCUAGGGACGUGUGGCGGGCGAACGGACUGCGGGUUCAAAUUCGUCUCGUUGUUCUGAGCAACUUUCAUGUAGAAAGUUUUUCGAUCCGAGCUACGGUUUAAUUUUUAUGAUUCUCCAAAGAUUUAAUGAUAUUCUGCAAUUUAAUUUAAUUCAAAAAUAAUGAGUAAAUGCUAGGUGCACCCAGAUCUGUGUACACAUAAGGGUGUGUUUGGUUUCUAUAACGAACUGGAAUAGCACGGGUCGGACCUGCCCCUGAGCCUCGUUCCUGUGUUUGGUAAGUACGUGGAACCAGAACCAAGUCGUUCCCACCAAACGAAUAUUUGGUCUAUAUGCGGAACGCGUCGAUACCUCCAAAUCGGAGGAAUCACAGGGAACCGGACGCUCUUUCCUCUCGCUCACCUAAAACCUAUCGCGUCUUCUUUCUCGGUGCUGCCUCCUCCUCGUCUCCCCCUCCCUGCUCUGCGCCGUCGGCUCCCUCCUCCUGAUCUGCGCCGCCGACUCGCUUGUCCCUUCCUCUCUCGAGUCUCAACUGCAGCAAAGCAAGGGAAGAAGAUGGGAUGGCAGAUCGAUCUAGGUCUGACAGCCGCUCGUGUCUGUUGCGGCGCUCCGCUUGCGGGAUGAGGGGUCGCUGGUGUUCUGGACCUCUCGUCGAUGGAUUUCCGCGAGCCGAAGCUGGGGCAGCGGCAGUGCCCGUCCCUGUGCUCUAUUCACAGUUGGCAGCAGAAUCGGAGAGUCAGCUCACCAGCGGCAAAUAACUACGAAGAAAUUCUGAUGAACAUCACGUAUCCUCGUGGCGUGGUUCUUCAACCGCAACACAACGGCAAAUAAUAAUCAGCUAGCUGGAAUUAAUCGAGGCGUUGAUUUCUUUAUGCUUGGGAGGACUUGUUAGCUGUUUGUGCUACCACUCUGUCCCAUCAUUUCUACCUCCCCAAGCAAACAUAGAAACGGAAUCAUUCCAUUAUAUUUAUUUUCUUCUACCAAACACAGAGACAGAACCGACCCGUUCCAAUGGAAUGUAACCAUGCCAUUCCAUUCCACUUGGUUCCCGAACCAAACACACCCUAAGUGUACCGGAGGGUGACAUGUGGGUCCAGGGGGUCCCAGUUGACCAGUCAAUGUUUGACUGGUCAACUGGGGUGUGGGGCCACCCUGUCAUUGACUACUAACUAAUUAACUAAUUAAUUAGGUAACUAAUCAGGUUAAUUAAGUUAAGUUAAUUAAACUAAUUAAUUAAUCAAUAUUUAUUUAUUUCAUUAAUAUUAUAUACAUUUUUUAUAUUUUCCUUUUUAUUUAUACAUUUGUUUUGUUCUUAUCCAGGGGCUGGGCCCCGUGUGUCAUAGGCACAGGGGCAAUGGGUCGGGCAAACGGGUGCUGGGGCACGGGCGAUGGCGCCUGAGGGAGUCCCGGACUAGG